This 468-nucleotide ribosomal RNA is filed under the name uncultured bacterium. Its description in RNAcentral is "partial 16S ribosomal RNA". It matches the Rfam family "Bacterial small subunit ribosomal RNA", at positions 28 to 507 of the family's 1533-position model. The record is from RNAcentral.
GACGAACGCUGGCGGCGUGCUUAACACAUGCAAGUCGAACGGAAAGGCCCUGCUUUUGUGGGGUGCUCGAGUGGCGAACGGGUGAGUAACACGUGAGUAACCUGCCCUUGACUUGGGGAUAACUUCAGGAAACUGGGGCUAAUACCGGAUAGGAGCGCCUGCUGCAUGGUGGGGGUUGGAAAGUUUCGGCGGUUGGGGAUGGACUCGCGGCUUAUCAGCUGGUUGGUGGGGUAGUGGCUUACCAAGGCUUUGACGGGUAGCCGGCCUGAGAGGGUGACCGGCCACAUUGGGACUGAGGUACGGCCCAGACUCCUACGGGAGGCAGCAGUGGGGAAUAUUGCACAAUGGGCGGAAGCCUGAUGCAACAACGCCGCGUGCGGGAUGACGGCCUUCUGGUUGUAAACCGCUUUCGCCUGUGACGAAGCGUGAGUGACGGUAAUGGGUAAAGAAGCACCGGCUAACUACGUG